RNAcentral lists this ribosomal RNA (226 nucleotides) under Clostridium frigidicarnis. RNAcentral's name for it is "16S rRNA. Bacterial SSU". It matches the Rfam family "Bacterial small subunit ribosomal RNA", at positions 1 to 224 of the family's 1533-position model. Lineage: Bacteria; Bacillati; Bacillota; Clostridia; Eubacteriales; Clostridiaceae. The record is from RNAcentral.
UUUAAAUUGAGAGUUUGAUCCUGGCUCAGGAUGAAUGCUGGCGGCGUGCUUAACACAUGCAAGUCGAGCGAGAGAGUUUCUUCGGAAACAAUCUAGCGGCGGACGGGUGAGUAACACGUGGGCAACCUGCCUUGUAGUGGGGGAUAGCCCUCCGAAAGGAGGAUUAAUACCGCAUAUUGUCACAUUGAGGCAUCUCAAAGUGAUGAAAGGAGUAAUCCGCUACAAG